CCUACGGGUGGCUGCAGUGGGGAAUAUUGGGCAAUGGGCGCAAGCCUGACCCAGCAACGCCGCGUGAAGGAAGAAGGCCCUCGGGUUGUAAACUUCUUUUAUUCGGGACGAAACAAAUGACGGUACCGAAAGAAUAAGCCACGGCUAACUACGGGCCAGCAGCCGCGUGAAUACGUAGGUGCCAAGCGUUAUCCGGAUUUACUGGGUGUAAAGGGCGUGUAGGCGGGGGAGCAAGUCAGACGUGAAAUUCCAGGGCUCAACCUUGGAAGUGCGUUUGAAACUGUUCUACUUGAGUGAUGGAGAGGCGAGCGGAAUUCCGUGUGUAGCGGUGAAAUGCGUAGAUAUACGGAGGAACACCAGUGGCGAAGGCGGCCUGCUGGUCUUUAACUGACGCUGAGGCGCGAAAGCGUGGGGAGCAAACAGGAUUAGAUACCCGAGUAGUC
This 443-nucleotide ribosomal RNA is filed under the name uncultured bacterium. RNAcentral's name for it is "partial 16S ribosomal RNA". It matches the Rfam family "Bacterial small subunit ribosomal RNA", at positions 338 to 795 of the family's 1533-position model. The record is from RNAcentral.